UCGGCUUAGAGUUUGAUCAUGGCUCAGGACGAACGCUGGCGGCGCGCCUAACACAUGCAAGUCGAACGGAGGAAGCCUUCGGGUGGAUUAGUGGCGAACGGGUGAGUAACACGUGAAUAACCUGCCCUAGAGUGGGGGACAACAUUUGGAAACAGAUGCUAAUACCGCAUAAGACCACAACCACAUGGUCAGUGGCCAAAGGAGCAAUUCGCUCUGGGAUGGAUUCACGUCCGAUUAGCUAGAUGGUGAGGUAAUGGCCCACCAUGGCAACGAUCGGUAGCCGGACUGAGAGGUCGAACGGCCACAUUGGGACUGAGACACGGCCCAGACUCCUACGGGAGGCAGCAGUGGGGAAUAUUGCACAAUGGAGGAAACUCUGAUGCAGCGACGCCGCGUGAGGGAAGAAGGUUUUCGGAUUGUAAACCUCUGUCUUCGAGGACGAUAAUGACGGUACUCGAGGAGGAAGCCACGGCUAACUACGUGCCAGCAGCCGCGGUAAAACGUAGUGGCAAGCGUUGUCCGGAAUUACUGGGUGUAAAGGGAGCGCAGCGGAAAUUCAAGUCAGAUGUGAAAACUAUGGGCUCAACCCAUAGACUGCGUCUGAAACUGGGUUUCUUGAGUGAUGUAGAGGUAGGCGGAAUUCCCGGUGUAGCGUGGAAUGCGUAGAUAUCGGGAGGAACACAGUG
This 686-nucleotide ribosomal RNA is filed under the name uncultured Oscillospiraceae bacterium. Its description in RNAcentral is "bacterial SSU rRNA". It matches the Rfam family "Bacterial small subunit ribosomal RNA", at positions 1 to 713 of the family's 1533-position model. Lineage: Bacteria; Bacillati; Bacillota; Clostridia; Eubacteriales; Oscillospiraceae. The record is from RNAcentral.